This 251-nucleotide unclassified non-coding RNA is filed under the name uncultured Cantharellales. Its description in RNAcentral is "sequence contains ITS2". The record is from RNAcentral. Lineage: Eukaryota; Fungi; Basidiomycota; Agaricomycetes; Cantharellales.
AGUUCUCAAGCUGAAUGCCCCCUUUUUUCAAAGGUGGGUCUUAGCUUGGUAUUGGGCUUUGCUGUAUCCUAUUGUUUAGGGACGGCUGGCCUUAAAUAUAUCAGCUGACCCUCUAGUGUGACGUUGGUUCUACUCAGCGUGAUAAUGAUCUUUACCGCUGAGGACAUCUUUCCAGAUGGCCAACUCUCAUUUAGGGUUGCUCUCUAAUCUGGGCUUACAGAUUUUCUUGCAAAAAUCUGUCCCACUUUCAG